Non-coding RNA from Caenorhabditis elegans, 21 nucleotides. The record is from Ensembl. Lineage: Eukaryota; Metazoa; Nematoda; Chromadorea; Rhabditida; Rhabditidae.
UAGUAAUGGUAUUUCUAAUAA